GUUGUGUUUCUCUACUCUCAGGUGGUGAGCCAGGGAGGAGUCCAAUUCCAAGAAGGCAGCUUGAUUGGCUGAUUUAAAACGUUUGGGUGGAUCUCUUCCACUCGCUGUCUGUUUUUUUCUUCCUCUUAGGGGGAUUUUUUUGACACUCCGUCCUGCCGUACGUGAAGAACAACUCCUAGCACCUGUUUGCUACCUCGUCCCUCAUCCUUGAUGUCCUGCACACCAUGGAAGCAUGACGGAAUGUGCCAACUUGAUUCAGACAGCCAACGCAUGGUUUCAACCACUGCCUCACGCUGCACUGCUGCCAGGCACCGACCACUGCAAUGGCGCCCCCUGGAGUCCGUUCAAUCCAAUCCACUUUAUCUCUACAGCACAUUUCAAAACACAGUAGAAGCUGACAGCAGCACAGCCAGGCCCCGCCCCUAGCAACCAAUCACAAGCGCCCGCCAUGGAAACCGCGGCCCCCAGGACGUCUCUGAUUGGCUGCCGCUGGCUGUCCGUCAACGCGUCGCUAGGGGCGCACCGCGGUCCAAGGGCAGGACACCUGCUAUGGAGGGAUGCUGAAUGCAUGCCCUGCUCACUAUUGUCUGACUUCUUUCCUCGAACCCUUUUUUUUCACGCAAUAUUGUUAAUAAGAUGAACUUUUUAUUGCUAUACACUGUAAAAAAAAAUAAAAAAAA
Molecule: long non-coding RNA, 680 nt
Organism: Entelurus aequoreus (snake pipefish)
Lineage: Eukaryota; Metazoa; Chordata; Actinopteri; Syngnathiformes; Syngnathidae
Exons: 3
Source: RefSeq, a predicted model, not a curated record